Molecule: non-coding RNA, 76 nt
Filed under: Trichococcus flocculiformis
Lineage: Bacteria; Bacillati; Bacillota; Bacilli; Lactobacillales; Carnobacteriaceae
Source: RNAcentral
AUGAGCCGUAUGAAUCGAGAGGUUCACGUACGGUUCUGUGAGAGCAUUUAGGUGAAAUUCCUAAGUGCUACUCGAC